UACAGAGGUCCCGAGCGUUGUUCGGAUUCACUGGGCGUAAAGGGUGCGCAGGUGGGUUGGCAAGUUUGAUGUGAAAGCCCCGGGCUUAACCCGGGAAUGGCAUUGAAUACUGCUGAUCUGGAGGAUCGGAGGGGGGACUGGAAUUCUUGGUGUAGCAGUGAGAUGCGUAGAUAUCAAGAGGAACACCAGUGGCGAAGGCGAGUCCCUGGACGAUACCUGACACUGAGGCACGAAAGCUAGGGGAGCAAACAGG
Molecule: ribosomal RNA, 253 nt
Filed under: uncultured bacterium
Lineage: Bacteria
Description: partial 16S ribosomal RNA
Rfam family: Bacterial small subunit ribosomal RNA
Source: RNAcentral